Pelobates cultripes (western spadefoot toad) is the source of this 520-nucleotide non-coding RNA. The record is from the annotation of a GenBank genome assembly. NCBI's taxonomy places the organism in Eukaryota, Metazoa, Chordata, Amphibia, Anura, Pelobatidae.
GCACAUUAUGUUUGUAUGAAUUAAUAUACAGAAAACACAUUUCUGUAUACUGAGCAGAUACAGAGCUGCAAAAAAAUAUUUUUUUCAGGGAUGGGGCAGGAUGUGAGUAUUAGGAAAGAAGUUAAGCAGCUCUGUCACCUCUGGGGAUCUCGACAUUUAAUGAAUGUGUGGCAGCUCGGAGGUGAAGCCAUCUUUCUUCUUCAUAAAUCACCAAAUUCCAGAAGUGCUCACUGGGGUAACCCUUAAGUGAUUACAUAUAGUAUAUAACUUGAAAUCCCCUUAUUUAAAUGAUAAAACCUUCAAUAGAGUAUAGGAAAACGUUUUACCCGUGUACUCACUCAGGUUCUAGUCAGUGAAGGAUAGUCAGGAAUGGAUACUAUCUAGAUAAUAUCUAGAAUGAUAGUCUGAUACGAUCUAGAAGCAUAGUCUAGGAUACUAUCCAGAAGGAUAGUCCAGGAUACUAUCUAGAAGGAUAGUCUAGGAUACUAUCCAGAAGGAUGGUCCAUGAUACUAUCUAGAA